GAUGAACGCUGGCGGCGUGCCUAAUACAUGCAAGUCGAGCGAACAGACGAGGAGCUUGCUCCUCUGACGUUAGCGGCGGACGGGUGAGUAACACGUGGAUAACCUACCUAUAAGACUGGGAUAACUUCGGGAAACCGGCGCUAAUACCGGAUAAUAUAUUGAACCGCAUGGUUCAAUAGUGAAAGACGGUUUUGCUGUCACGUAUAGAUGGAUCCGCGCCGCAUUAGCUAGUUGGUAAGGUAACGGCUUACCAAGGCAACGAUGCGUAGCCGACGUGAGAGGGUGGUCGGCCACACUGGAACUGAGACACGGUCCUGACUCCUACGGGAGGCAGCAGUAGGGAAUCUUACGCAAUGGGCGAAAGCCUGACGGAGCAACGCCGCGUGAGUGAUGAAGGUCUUCGGAUCGUAAAACUCUGUUAUUAGGGAAGAACAAAUGUGUAAGUAACUAUGCACGUCUUGACGGUACCUAAUCAGAAAGCCACGGCUAACUACGUG
This 497-nucleotide ribosomal RNA is filed under the name uncultured bacterium. Its description in RNAcentral is "partial 16S ribosomal RNA". It matches the Rfam family "Bacterial small subunit ribosomal RNA", at positions 28 to 507 of the family's 1533-position model. The record is from RNAcentral.